UACGUAGGGGGCAAGCGUUGUCCGGAUUUAUUGGGCGUAAAGAGCGUGUAGGCGGCCAAGCAGGUCCGCUGUGAAAACUCGAGGCUCAACCUCGAGACGUCGGUGGAAACCGUUGGUCUAGAGUCCGGAAGAGGAGAGUGGAAUUCCCGGUGUAGCGGUGAAAUGCGCAGAUAUCGGGGAAGAACACCCGUGGCGAAGGCGGCUCUCUGGGACGGUACUGACGCGUGAGACGCGAAAGCGUGGGGAGCGAACGAGG
RNAcentral lists this ribosomal RNA (256 nucleotides) under uncultured bacterium. Its description in RNAcentral is "partial 16S ribosomal RNA". It matches the Rfam family "Bacterial small subunit ribosomal RNA", at positions 524 to 777 of the family's 1533-position model. The record is from RNAcentral.